GUCCGUGUAGCGCAAUGGAUAGCGUGUUGAACUUUUAAUUCAAAGAUCAUGGGUUCGAAUCUCACCUGGGAUG
Trichonephila inaurata madagascariensis is the source of this 73-nucleotide non-coding RNA. The record is from the annotation of a GenBank genome assembly. Lineage: Eukaryota; Metazoa; Arthropoda; Arachnida; Araneae; Nephilidae.